This 309-nucleotide ribosomal RNA is filed under the name uncultured archaeon. RNAcentral's name for it is "bacterial SSU rRNA". It matches the Rfam family "Archaeal small subunit ribosomal RNA", at positions 526 to 834 of the family's 1478-position model. The record is from RNAcentral.
CGGCCACGCCGGUCCGUCGGGAAAUCCGUCAGCUCAACUGACGGGCGUCCGGCGGAUACCCCGUGGCUUGGGACCGGAAGACCCGAGGGGUACGUCCGGGGUAGGAGUGAAAUCCCGUAAUCCUGGACGGACCGCCGAUGGCGAAAGCACCUCGGGAGGACGGAUCCGACGGUGAGGGACGAAAGCUAGGGUCUCGAACCGGAUUAGAUACCCGGGUAGUCCUAGCCGUAAACGAUGCCCGCUAGGUGUGUCACCGGCUACGAGCCGGUGACGUGCCGCAGGGAAGCCGCUAAGCGGGCCGCUUGGGAA